CCUACGGGAGGCAGCAGUGAGGAAUAUUGGUCAAUGGGCGUAAGCCUGAACCAGCCAAGUCGCGUGAGGGAUGAAGGUUCUAUGGAUCGUAAACCUCUUUUAUAAGGGAAUAAAGUGUGGGACGUGUCCUGUGUUGUAUGUACUUUAUGAAUAAGGAUCGGCUAACUCCGUGCCAGCAGCCGCAGUAAUACGGAGGAACCGAGCGUUAUCCGGAUUUAUUGGGUUUAAAGGGAGCGUAGGCCGCAUGUCAAGCGUGCUGUGAAAUGUCCGGGCUCAACCCGGGCCUUGCAGCGCGAACUGGCGUGCUUGAGUCCGCGGAAAGCAGGCGGAAUUCGUCGUGUAGCGGUGAAAUGCUUAGAUAUGACGAAGAACCCCGAUUGCGAAGGCAGCUUGCUGCAGCGGAACUGACGCUGAUGCUCGAAAGCGCGGGUAUCGAACAGGAUUAGAUACCCGGGUAGUC
RNAcentral lists this ribosomal RNA (460 nucleotides) under uncultured bacterium. RNAcentral describes it as "partial 16S ribosomal RNA". It matches the Rfam family "Bacterial small subunit ribosomal RNA", at positions 338 to 795 of the family's 1533-position model. The record is from RNAcentral.